UCCGCCCGCUGGCGGCGUGCUUAACACAUGCAAGUCGAACGGAAAGGCCCUGCUUUUGUGGGGUGCUCGAGUGGCGAACGGGUGAGUAACACGUGAGUAACCUGCCCUUGACUUUGGGAUAACUUCAGGAAACUGGGGCUAAUACCGGAUAGGAGCUCCUGCUGCAUGGUGGGGGUUGGAAAGUUUCGGCGGUUGGGGAUGGACUCGCGGCUUAUCAGCUUGUUGGUGGGGUAGUGGCUUACCAAGGCUUUGACGGGUAGCCGGCCUGAGAGGGUGACCGGCAACAUUGGACUGAGAUACGGCCCAGACUCCUACGGGAGGCAGCAGUGGGGAAUAUUGCACAAUGGGCGGAAGCCUGAUGCAGCAACGCCGCGUGCGGGAUGACGGCCUUCGGGUUGUAAACCGCUUUCGCCUGUGACGAAGCGUGAGUGACGGUAAUGGGUAAAGAAGCACCGGCUAACUACGUG
Molecule: ribosomal RNA, 467 nt
Filed under: uncultured bacterium
Lineage: Bacteria
Description: partial 16S ribosomal RNA
Rfam family: Bacterial small subunit ribosomal RNA
Source: RNAcentral